Molecule: ribosomal RNA, 715 nt
Filed under: uncultured bacterium
Lineage: Bacteria
Description: bacterial SSU rRNA
Rfam family: Bacterial small subunit ribosomal RNA
Source: RNAcentral
CGUACGCUUCUUUUUCCACCGGAGCUUGCUCCACCGGAAAAAGAAGAGUGGCGAACGGGUGAGUAACACGUGGGUAACCUGCCCAUCAGAAGGGGAUAACACUUGGAAACAGGUGCUAAUACCGUAUAACAAUCGAAACCGCAUGGUUUUGAUUUGAAAGGCGCUUUCGGGUGUCGCUGAUGGAUGGACCCGCGGUGCAUUAGCUAGUUGGUGAGGUAACGGCUCACCAAGGCCACGAUGCAUAGCCGACCUGAGAGGGUGAUCGGCCACAUUGGGACUGAGACACGGCCCAAACUCCUACGGGAGGCAGCAGUAGGGAAUCUUCGGCAAUGGACGAAAGUCUGACCGAGCAACGCCGCGUGAGUGAAGAAGGUUUUCGGAUCGUAAAACUCUGUUGUUAGAGAAGAACAAGGAUGAGAGUAACUGUUCAUCCCUUGACGGUAUCUAACCAGAAAGCCACGGCUAACUACGUGCCAGCAGCCGCGGUAAUACGUAGGUGGCAAGCGUUGUCCGGAUUUAUUGGGCGUAAAGCGAGCGCAGGCGGUUUCUUAAGUCUGAUGUGAAAGCCCCCGGCUCAACCGGGGAGGGUCAUUGGAAACUGGGAGACUUGAGUGCAGAAGAGGAGAGUGGAAUUCCAUGUGUAGCGGUGAAAUGCGUAGAUAUAUGGAGGAACACCAGUGGCGAAGGCGGCUCUCUGGUCUGUAACUGACGCUGA